Long non-coding RNA from Coregonus clupeaformis (lake whitefish), 212 nucleotides. RefSeq lists it as uncharacterized. NCBI's taxonomy places the organism in Eukaryota, Metazoa, Chordata, Actinopteri, Salmoniformes, Salmonidae. The transcript has 3 exons. The record is from RefSeq and is a predicted model, not a curated record.
GGGGGCUCUACGUCCGUUCAGCUGGAGGUCUCUGGCUGCUCUCAGCAGGAUUACCGGCAACGUUUCCAAGGACUUGAUGCUGUGCUACAUCAUCUACCCAUCUCACCUGACAGAGGAACAUCUCUCCUCUCCAGACUGUCUCUGCAGGGUCACAGUUCAGGAGAUUAUUUUAAGCAGAUGGAUAUCAUCACGAGAACGGACAGAGACGGACG